RNAcentral lists this ribosomal RNA (492 nucleotides) under uncultured bacterium. RNAcentral describes it as "partial 16S ribosomal RNA". It matches the Rfam family "Bacterial small subunit ribosomal RNA", at positions 28 to 507 of the family's 1533-position model. The record is from RNAcentral.
GGUGAACGCUGGCGGUAGGCCUAACACAUGCAAGUCGAACGGCAGCACAGUAAGAGCUUGCUCUUACGGGUGGCGAGUGGCGGACGGGUGAGGAAUACAUCGGAAUCUACUUUUUCGUGGGGGAUAACGUAGGGAAACUUACCCUAAUACCGCAUACGACCUACGGGUGAAAGCAGGGGAUCUUCGGACCUUGCGCGAUUGAAUGAGCCGAUGUCGGAUUAGCUAGUUGGCGGGGUAAAGGCCCACCAAGGCGACGAUCCGUAGCUGGUCUGAGAGGAUGAUCAGCCACACUGGAACUGAGACACGGUCCAGACUCCUACGGGAGGCAGCAGUGGGGAAUAUUGGACAAUGGGCGCAAGCCUGAUCCAGCCAUACCGCGUGGGUGAAGAAGGCCUUCGGGUUGUAAAGCCCUUUUGUUGGGAAAGAAAAGCAGCAGGUUAAUACCCCGCUGUUCUGACGGUACCCAAAGAAUAAGCACCGGCUAACUUCGUG